GCUCAGUUGGUAGAGCGGAGGAC
This 23-nucleotide non-coding RNA is filed under the name Cricetulus griseus (Chinese hamster). Lineage: Eukaryota; Metazoa; Chordata; Mammalia; Rodentia; Cricetidae. The record is from RNAcentral.